Molecule: small RNA, 977 nt
Filed under: Pan troglodytes (chimpanzee)
Lineage: Eukaryota; Metazoa; Chordata; Mammalia; Primates; Hominidae
Description: retained intron
Source: RNAcentral
GCCAUCCCUAUUCAGUGCAAGAGUUGUUCAUUGAUUUCUUCUCCAGUUUCCUAAACUUUCUUUUUCUUCCUUUCUCUCUCGUCCUCUACCUCUUCUCCUCUGCAGACAGACUUCAUGCUUCAGGUGUUUCAACCCAGUCCCUCUCUGGCUCCUCGGAUGCCCUUCUCCAUUGGGCAGGUCACAAUGCCCAUGGUUAUGCCCAGUGCAGAUCCCCGCUCCUUGUCUUUCCCAAUCCUGAACCCUGCCCUUUCCCAGCCCAGCCAGCCUUCCUCACCCCUUCCUGGCUCCCAUGGCAGAAAUAGCCCUGGCUUGGGUUCCCUUGUCAGCCCCCACGGUCCACACAUGCCCCCUGCCGCCUCCAUCCCGCCUCCCCCAGGCUUGGGCGGUGUUAAGGCUUCUGCUGAAACUCCCCGGCCCCAACCAGUAGACAAACUGGAGAAGAUCCUGGAGAAGCUGCUGACCCGGUUCCCACAGUGCAAUAAGGCCCAGAUGACCAACAUUCUUCAGCAGAUCAAGACAGCACGUACCACCAUGGCAGGCCUGACCAUGGAGGAACUUAUCCAGUUGGUUGCUGCACGACUGGCAGAACAUGAGCGGGUGGCAGCAAGUACUCAGCCACUUGGUCGCAUCCGGGCCUUGUUCCCUGCUCCACUGGCCCAAAUCAGUACCCCAAUGUUCUUGCCUUCUGCCCAAGUUUCAUAUCCUGGAAGGUCUUCACAUGCUCCAGCCACCUGUAAGCUGUGUCUAAUGUGCCAGAAACUCGUCCAGCCCAGUGAGCUGCAUCCAAUGGCGUGUACCCAUGUAUUGCACAAGGAGUGUAUCAAAUUCUGGGCCCAGACCAACACAAAUGACACUUGUCCCUUUUGUCCAACUCUUAAAUGACGGACCUGACUGGGGAGGAAGAAGAAGAGAAACUGAUGUGAACAGGAAGCGCGGGUUCAAGAUUUCUAAAACUCUAUAUUUAUACAGUGACAUAU